RNAcentral lists this ribosomal RNA (518 nucleotides) under uncultured Streptomyces sp. RNAcentral describes it as "bacterial SSU rRNA". It matches the Rfam family "Bacterial small subunit ribosomal RNA", at positions 144 to 675 of the family's 1533-position model. The record is from RNAcentral. Lineage: Bacteria; Bacillati; Actinomycetota; Actinomycetes; Kitasatosporales; Streptomycetaceae.
CAAGCCCUGGAAACGGGGUCUAAUACCGGAUAUGACAUCCUCCCGCAUGGGAAGGGUGUGGAAAGCUCCGGCGGUGCAGGAUGAGCCCGCGGCCUAUCAGCUUGUUGGUGGGGUGAUGGCCUACCAAGGCGACGACGGGUAGCCGGCCUGAGAGGGCGACCGGCCACACUGGGACUGAGACACGGCCCAGACUCCUACGGGAGGCAGCAGUGGGGAAUAUUGCACAAUGGGCGAAAGCCUGAUGCAGCGACGCCGCGUGAGGGAUGACGGCCUUCGGGUUGUAAACCUCUUUCAGCAGGGAAGAAGCGAAAGUGACGGUACCUGCAGAAGAAGCACCGGCUAACUACGUGCCAGCAGCCGCGGUAAUACGUAGGGUGCGAGCGUUGUCCGGAAUUAUUGGGCGUAAAGAGCUCGUAGGCGGCCUGUCACGUCGGAUGUGAAAGCCCGGGGCUUGACCCCGGGUCUGCAUUCGAUACGGGCAGGCUAGAGUUCGGUAGGGGAGAUCGGAAUUCCUGGUG